GAGAGUGUUGACAACUACGUUUACCUUUCCGUAGGGCAAUCAGAAGAUCAAGAUCAUUUGACAGAAGUUGUGGUAGGGGAGGUGUAUUCACCUGUGCAACUGUUGGCGCGACUAUCUCCUGGGGUCGCCUAGAAUACACUUGUGUAAUGGGAGCAGGGUCUAGAAAUA
This is a long non-coding RNA of Ipomoea nil (Japanese morning glory), 168 nucleotides long. RefSeq lists it as uncharacterized. The transcript is spliced from 3 exons. NCBI's taxonomy places the organism in Eukaryota, Viridiplantae, Streptophyta, Magnoliopsida, Solanales, Convolvulaceae. The record is from RefSeq and is a predicted model, not a curated record.